This 521-nucleotide ribosomal RNA is filed under the name uncultured archaeon. Its description in RNAcentral is "bacterial SSU rRNA". It matches the Rfam family "Archaeal small subunit ribosomal RNA", at positions 1 to 522 of the family's 1478-position model. The record is from RNAcentral.
GCCGCGGGAUUUUCCGGUUGAUCCUGCCAGAGGUCACUGANNNGGGGNUCGAUUAAGCCAUGCGAGUCGAGAGGGUUCGGNNUCGGNGUACUGCUCAGUAACACGUGGAUAACCUGCCCUAGGGGAGGGGAUAACCCCGGGAAACUGGGGAUAAUACCCUAUAGGUUACAGAUGCUGGAAUGCCCUGUAACCAAAAGCUCCGGCGCCCUAGGAUGGAUCUGCGGCCGAUUAGGUUGUUGUUGGGGUAACGGCCCAACAAGCCCGUAAUCGGUACGGGUUGUGGGAGCAAGAGCCCGGAGUUGGAUUCUGAGACACGAAUCCAGGCCCUACGGGGCGCAGCAGGCGCGAAACCUUUACAAUGCGGGCAACCGUGAUAAGGGAACCUCGAGUGCCUGUAAACGCAGGCUGUUCAGGUGUUUAAAACGCACCUGGAGAAAGGGCCGGGCAAGACCGGUGCCAGCCGCCGCGGUAAUACCGGCGGCUCGAGUGGUGGCCGCUUUUAUUGGGCUUAAAGCGUUCGU